Molecule: ribosomal RNA, 406 nt
Filed under: uncultured bacterium
Lineage: Bacteria
Description: partial 16S ribosomal RNA
Rfam family: Bacterial small subunit ribosomal RNA
Source: RNAcentral
AUUGAACGCUGGCGGCAGGCCUAACACAUGCAAGUCGAGCGAGCGGCGGACGGGUGAGUAAUGUUUGGGAAACUGCUUGAUGGAGGGGGAUAACCACUGGAAAAGGUAGCUAAUACCGCAUACCAUCAGAUGUGCCCAUAUGGGAGUAGCUAGUAGGUGGGGUAAUGGCUCACCUAGGCGACGGUCCCUAGCUGGUCUGAGAGGGUGACCAGCCACACUGGGACUGAGACACGGUCCAGACUCCUACGGGAGGCAGCAGUGGGGAAUAUUGCACAAUGGUCGCAAGCCUGAUGCAGCCAUGCCGCGUGUGUGAAGAAGGCCUUCGGGUUGUAAAGCACUUUCAGCGGGGAGGCGUUACCCGCAGAAGAAGCACCGGCUAACUCCGUGCCAGCAGCCGCGGUAAUAC